Molecule: ribosomal RNA, 472 nt
Filed under: uncultured Flavobacterium sp.
Lineage: Bacteria; Pseudomonadati; Bacteroidota; Flavobacteriia; Flavobacteriales; Flavobacteriaceae
Description: bacterial SSU rRNA
Rfam family: Bacterial small subunit ribosomal RNA
Source: RNAcentral
GAGUUUGAUCGUGGCUCAGGAUUAACGCUAGCGGCAGGCAUAAUACAUGCAAGUUGAACGGGAUAAGUUUUAGCAAUAAGACUUUGAGAGUGGCGCACGGGUGCGUAACACGUAUGCAACCUACCCUUUACUAAGGAAUAGCCCCUCGAAAGAGGGAUUAAUACCUUAUAAUAUGUUUUCUAGGCAUCUAGGGAAUCUUAAAGCUCAGGCGGUAAAGGAUGGGCAUGCGGCUGAUUAGGUAGUUGGUGAGGUAACGGCUCACCAAGCCAACGAUCAGUAGGGGGUCUGAGAGGAUGUCCCCCCACACUGGUACUGAGACACGGACCAGACUCCUACGGGAGGCAGCAGUAGGGAAUAUUGGACAAUGGGCGCAAGCCUGAUCCAGCCAUGCCGCGUGCAGGAUGAAGGCCCUAUGGGUCGUAAACUGCUUUUGUAACGGGAAGAAACCUGACUACGUGUAGUCAGUUGACGG